ACUAGGUUGGCAGAUUUUUAUGCAUUAAAUUUAGAAUUUAAUAAAAUGACUUUAGUCAUAUUUAGUA
RNAcentral lists this transfer RNA (67 nucleotides) under Empoascanara sp. RNAcentral's name for it is "tRNA-Leu". Lineage: Eukaryota; Metazoa; Arthropoda; Insecta; Hemiptera; Cicadellidae. The record is from RNAcentral.